CAGUCGCCGCGGUAAUACAGAGGGUGCGAGCGUUAAUCGGAUUUACUGGGCGUAAAGCGUGCGUAGGCGGCUAAUUGAGUCGGAUGUGAAAUCCCUGAGCUUAACUUAGGAAUUGCAUUCGAUACUGGGAAGCUAGAGUAUGGGAGAGGAUGGUAGAAUUCCAGGUGUAGCGGUGAAAUGCGUAGAGAUCUGGAGGAAUACCGAUGGCGAAGGCAGCCAUCUGGCCUAAUACUGACGCUGAGGUACGAAAGCAUGGGGAGCAAACAGGAUUAGAUACCCUGUAGCCCUGUCUCUUAUACAC
This 301-nucleotide ribosomal RNA is filed under the name uncultured bacterium. RNAcentral describes it as "partial 16S ribosomal RNA". It matches the Rfam family "Bacterial small subunit ribosomal RNA", at positions 509 to 810 of the family's 1533-position model. The record is from RNAcentral.